UUCGCCCUUAGAGUUUGAUCCUGGCUCAGGAUGAACGCUGGCGGCGUGCUUAACACAUGCAAGUCGAACGAAGCGCGCGGAAGGAAGGCCUUCGGGCCGGAGAGCCGCGGGACUGAGUGGCGGACGGGUGAGUAACGCGUGGGCAACCUGCCCCGUACAGGGGGAUAACAGCCGGAAACGGCUGCUAAUACCGCAUAAGCGCACAGCGCCGCAUGGCGCGGUGUGAAAAGCUCCGGCGGUACGGGAGGGGCCCGCGUCUGAUUAGGCAGUUGGCGGGGCAGCGGCCCACCAAACCGACGAUCAGUAGCCGGCCUGAGAGGGCGGCCGGCCACAUUGGGACUGAGACACGACCCAAACUCCUGCGGGAGGCAGCAGUGGGGAAUAUUGGACAAUGGGGGGAACCCUGAUCCAGCGACGCCGCGUGAGUGAAGAAGUAUUUCGGUAUGUAAAGCUCUAUCAGCAGGGAAGAAAGAAAUGACGGUACCUGACUAAGAAGCCCCGGCUAACUACGUGCCAGCAGCCGCGGUAAUACGUAGGGGGCAAGCGUUAUCCGGAUUUACUGGGUGUAAAGGGAGCGUAGACGGCAGUGCAAGUCUGAAGUGAAAGGCGGGGGCCCAACCCCCGGACUGCUUUGGAAACUGUGCUGCUGGAGUGCAGGAGAGGCAAGUGGAAUUCCUAGUGUAGCGGUGAAAUGCGUAGAUAUUAGGAGGAACACCAGUGGCGAAGGCGGCUUGCUGGACUGUAACUGACGUUGAGGCUCGAAAGCGUGGGGAGCAAACAGGAUUAGAUACCCUGGUAGUCCACGCCGUAAACGAUGAUCACUAGGUGUCGGUGGGUAUGGACCCAUCUUUGCCGCAGCAAACACACUAAGUAUUUCCCCCUGCGGAGUAGCGUUCGCAUGAAUGAAGGUCAAAGGAAUGGACGGGGACCCGCACACGCGGCCGAGCACGUGGUUUAAUUCUAAGCAACGCGAAGAACCUUACCAGUUCUUGACAUCCCAAUGAAUAAAGGGUAAAGCCUUUAGCCCUUCGGGGCAUCGGAGACAGGUGGUGCAUGGUUGUCGUCAGCUCGUGUCGUGAGAUGUUGGGUUAAGUCCCGCAACGAGCGCAACCCCUGUCCUUAGUAGCCAGCAUGAAAAGAUGGGCACUCUAGGGAGACAGCCGGGGACAACCCGGAGGAAGGCGGGGAUGACGUCAAAUCAUCAUGCCCCUUAUGGACUGGGCUACACACGUGCUACAAUGGCGCCUACAAAGUGAAGCGAGCGUGAGAGCGUAAGCAAAACACAAAAAAGGCGUCCCAGUUCGGAUUGUAGUCUGCAACUCGACUACAUGAAGCUGGAAUCGCUAGUAAUCGCGGAUCAGAAUGCCGCGGUGAAUACGUUCCCAGGUCUUGCACACACCGCCCGUCA
Molecule: ribosomal RNA, 1408 nt
Filed under: uncultured bacterium
Lineage: Bacteria
Description: 16S ribosomal RNA
Rfam family: Bacterial small subunit ribosomal RNA
Source: RNAcentral